RNAcentral lists this ribosomal RNA (237 nucleotides) under uncultured bacterium. RNAcentral's name for it is "partial 16S ribosomal RNA". It matches the Rfam family "Bacterial small subunit ribosomal RNA", at positions 99 to 334 of the family's 1533-position model. The record is from RNAcentral.
CGAACGGGUGAGUAACGCGUGAGGAACCUGCCUCAAAGAGGGGGACAACAGUUGGAAACGACUGCUAAUACCGCAUAAGCCCACGGCUCGGCAUCGAGCGGAGGGAAAAGGAGCAAUCCGCUUUGAGAUGGCCUCGCGUCCGAUUAGCUAGUUGGUGAGGUAACGGCCCACCAAGGCGACGAUCGGUAGCCGGACUGGGAGGUUGAACGGCCACAUUGGGACUGAGACACGGCCCAG